CUUGAAGCCUGGAGUUCAAGACCAUCCUGGGCAACACAGCGAGACCCCAUCUCUUCAAGAAAAAAUUUUUAAAAAUUAGCUGGGCUUGGUGGCACACACCUGUAGUCCCAGCUACUUGGGAGGCUGAGAUGGGAGGAAGGCUUGAGCCCAGGAGAUGGAGGCUACAGUGAGCUAUGUUUGCAACACUGUACUCCAGCUUGGGUGACAGAGCAAGACCCUGUCUCUAAAACAAAACAAGCCAAAGUGCAAAAGAGCCUACAAAGAAUGCUCCGUCUAGGAAAGAGGGGAAUAUAUGUGUAUAUGUUUAUCUUUACAAAAUUAAACACACGGGAGAUAAACCAGGAGACAAUUAUGCUCAUUACCAAAAAGCGAGGAGGAGGUACAGGAGGGAGUGGCUCCCUGCAUCUGUCUUCAGGGGCAGUUUUGACAUCUGGAAGGAUGGUCACACUCUACAAACCUAACAGGAUGGGGGUGUGGGGUAUGGUGGGAGGCACAAGACUGAAAGCAAACGGAAAGGAUGACCCCAGCUGUAUUUCCAAUGAAGGCACCACUACACUGACGGUGGAGAAGCCGACCCAAGGAACUCAUGAGCACAGUGCUUGACGGCACCCGCAGUUGUGGGCAGGGAGUGAACUGCAAACAAUCCCGACCUCUUCAUGGUGGGUUUGUUUUUGCAAUCCUGUGGCAAAGCUGCACUGGAGCUCUCGAGCAGGCGUGCACUGGACUCCCUAGCAGAUGCGUGAGGAUGCUGCUGUUGCUGGGGGCCAGGGUCCUCAGGGUGGAGAUGGGGGGUGGGGGAGAACCGUGCAAGGUGGGACGGAAUCCAGGCACGGUUCUGUGCUGUUUCAGAUCUGUACACGCAUAUUACAUAUGUACGUGUGCGUCUGCACGCAGCAGGCCUGUCCUCCCUAGCCUGUCCACAGAAAGGGCCUAAAGCUCAGGCACCCCGUGGCAUCGAGCACACCUCGUGUCUAGAUCCUGGUCUCUAACGCUGUUCCCCACCAAAGUGAGCCAAGACCCACAGAGCAAUGGCCGAGGCCAGAGGCCCAAGAGGACGCCCUGCCAUGCCUGGUCAUGAGGAGGUGCUCGAAGGAGAGGCACGGCGCACAGGCAGAGCAUGGCAGGCUUCCCACCAGCAAAUCUCGUACACUUUGAACACCAGGAUAAUUAAAGACAGGAGUGACUCACAGACCACUGAAGUCGGGAGGCAAUCCACAUGUGGCCAGCGAUAAAAGAGAACAAAUGAGCGUGGAUAACCAGUGAAUACCUGAGACACACAGGUGGAUGGAUCGGGGAGGGAGCCCAUGUCUGUGGAUGCUGGGGCCAGGAAGCCUGCUCUCCAGCCCUCACCAUCUGGCCUCUGUGGGAGUCAGGAAGUGUCUGCACAGAUGUUCGCCAGAUGCAAUGGGAAAACCAGGAGGCAUCAGGUGGAGAGGCAGCUCCAGGGCACCUGGGCAACAGCCACAAGCUCUCAAAGAGCACAGGAAGAAAUCAUGUCUUUAUGCACACGUGUGUGCAUGUGUGGUAUGUAUGCAUGGUGUGUGCACGUGUGCAUGAUUGCAUUGUGUGGUGUGUAUGCAUGGUGUGUGCACGUGUGCAUGAUUGCAUUGUGUGGUGUGUAUGCAUGGUGUGUGCACCUGUGCAUUGUGUGUGUGCAUGCGUGGUGGGUAUGUAUGGUGUGUGCACGUGUGAUUCUGCAUGCAUGGUGUGUAUGCAUGGUGUGCACAUCUGUGCAUUGUGUGUGGAUGCAUGUGUGGUGUGUAUGCAUGGUGUGCACAUGCAUUGUGCAUGCGUGGUGUAUGCAUGGUGUGUGCACGUGUGCACUGUGUGGUGUGUAUGCAUGGUGUGUGCACGUGUGCACUGUGUAUGCAUGGUAAUGUGCACGUGUGCACUGUGUGGUGUGUAUGCAUGGUGUGUGCACGUGUGCUGUGUGGUGUGUAUGCAUGGUGUGUGCACGUGUGCACUGUGUGUGGUGUGUAUGCAUGGUGUGUGCACGUGUGCACUGGUGUGUGCAUGGUGUGUGCACGUGUGCACUGUGUGUGGUGUGUAUGCAUGGUGUGCACGUGUGCACUGUGGUGUGUAUGCAUGGUGUGCACGUGUGCACUGUGUGGCGUGUAUGCAUGGUGUGUGCACGUGUGCACUGUGUGGUGUGUAUGCAUGGUGUGUGCACGUGUGCACUGGUGUGUAUGCAUGGUGUGUGCACGUGUGCACUGUGUGUGGUGUGUAUGCAUGGUGUGUGCACGUGUGCACUGUGUGUGGGUGUAUGCAUGGUGUGUGCACGUGUGCACUGUGUGGCGUGUAUGCAUGGUGUGUGCAUGUGUGCACUGUAUGCAUGCAUGUGUGGUGUGUGUGCAUGUGUGCAUGGCGUGUGCAUACGUGUGCAGCAGCACCUGGUCCCGUCUCCAGUGCCCAGCAGCGUCACACGCACUCUGGUGUUUUAUAAAUGCAUGGUCAGUGAGGCUGACAGCACCAAGCUGUCCCUUUACCAUAACACCUGGAAUAGUCACCUGUGAUAAGCUAUCACAUAGGAAACAUUUUUAAAAUUUCAUUCUCAUUAUUUUCUGUAAUCUUGAGAGGUUCCAAUCAACAUUUAUUGUCUUAUUCUUUUUAUCUCAUUCCUUUUUGAAUCUGUUUAUCUCCUAAAAUUUUAUCUGUGAUGGAGAUGGGAUGCCUGUGAAUACAAAAGUUGCAGUGGUGGCACCAGGGUGGGGGGGUGCGGCCGGGGCCACCAUGGUCUCCCCUGAGAGGGGGUGCUGUCUUAGGUGCCCCAAGAGGCCCUCGGGCAGCAAGCGUGUGGUGCUGCCAAAAUACAGCUCCCCCUGGGUGGGCAGGACACACGUGGCCUCCUGGCAGACAGGUGCCUGGGUGAGCCCGCUGCUCCUGAUUAGUCAUGAAUGGCACCUGGUCUGGGCGACAGUCACCCGCAGGAAGCCCUGAGCUGGCCACCAUCACCCUGGGCAGUGGCUCCCGGGGUGCCAACAAGACCUGGGCCCCUCGUUCUUUGGUGCUGAGAGCCCCAGCUGAGGCUGUGGAGGAGGCCCUGGACCUGGUCUGGUGUCUGUCAGAGGCAGGUGCCCAGUCCUUUGACUUGCUUCUCUGAAUUGUCAUAAUUGUGCUGGAAUUGUGCCAGAAACUGGUAGCGAUAACAGCUCCUGGAAGGCCUGUGGCUGCUGAGGGCUGCCUGGUCCCCCUCAGGACAGCCGGGGGAGCCUCUCCAGAAGCACCAGCUUUGUCUGCAGGUGGACGUUGAAGGGGGGCAGUUGGGUCAGGUUCAGACUCACACCUGUGGUCCCCACGACGCUGGCCAGGACCCGGUGUGUGUCCCUGUAGAGGGCCAGGAGCCCAGGGGCCGCCUCCAUGAGGAUGUGUGUGUAUGCCAGCAUGCCUGUCCCCGGCUGCACAUCCUCCCUCUUGUCGUACCUGUGGGAUGAGAGCUGGUGGUCCUGCCCAGGGCCCCCACAUCACCCUGUCCCCCGCCCCCAAGGGGCCCUCACAUGGCCUCUGGGAGGGCCGUGCUGUGUGUGGAUCCUACCUCCAGGCGCUGUUGACUUGGAGAAACCGAGACACACCUGUCUGGGCGGCUGCCACGUCAAUGUGCAGAAGGACGUCUAGGAAAACCAGGCCUGCCAUCAGAGCCCAGCCCUGCAGUCGGAGCCACAGCAGUCCCCAGGCAGUGCCCCGAGCACCCACCUGUCUGGGGGGGCACCAGCUGGUGCAGCCUCUGCAUUGCGACGCCACCUGGGUAGUUGAAAUGGGACACAUACAGGGCCGUGGCCGAGUAGGCGGCAUUCACCACGAGGUGUCCGAUCACAAGCAGAGACCCCGCUUUGUACAGCCAAGACUUUUUAUAGUUAUUCAGCCU
RNAcentral lists this long non-coding RNA (3862 nucleotides) under Pan troglodytes (chimpanzee). RNAcentral's name for it is "long non-coding RNA NONPTRT009664". Lineage: Eukaryota; Metazoa; Chordata; Mammalia; Primates; Hominidae. The record is from RNAcentral.